GACGAACGCUGGCGGCGUGCUUAACACAUGCAAGUCGAGCGGUAAGGCCCUUUCGGGGGUACACGAGCGGCGAACGGGUGAGUAACACGUGGGUGACCUGCCUCUAGCUCUGGGAUAAGCCUGGGAAGCUGGGUCUAAUACCGGAUAUGACCUCGCGGUGCAUGUUGCGGGGUGGAAAGCCUUGUGCGGCUAGGGAUGGGCCCGCGGCCUAUCAGCUUGUUGGUGGGGUGANGGCCUACCAAGGCGACGACGGGUAGCCGGCCUGAGAGGGCGACCGGCCACACUGGGACUGAGACACGGCCCAGACUCCUACGGGAGGCAGCAGUGGGGGAUCUUGCGCAAUGGGCGAAAGCCUGACGCAGCGACGCCGCGUGAGGGAUGACGGCCUCGG
This 391-nucleotide ribosomal RNA is filed under the name uncultured bacterium. Its description in RNAcentral is "bacterial SSU rRNA". It matches the Rfam family "Bacterial small subunit ribosomal RNA", at positions 28 to 420 of the family's 1533-position model. The record is from RNAcentral.